This is a small RNA of Leptothrix cholodnii SP-6, 70 nucleotides long. It matches the Rfam family "int-alpA RNA". From Rfam's summary of the family: Acidobacteria (1 example), Planctomycetes (1 example), Proteobacteria. Environment (Lake Washington) The record is from Rfam. NCBI's taxonomy places the organism in Bacteria, Pseudomonadati, Pseudomonadota, Betaproteobacteria, Burkholderiales, Sphaerotilaceae.
GCCCCAGCUAGGCCCGCGAACCGAAGAGCGGGAUUCCUUCCCCCGCCUGCUGGGGCACCUUCUUGGAAGA